GACGUAGGGCGCGAGCGUUUGUCCGGAUUUAUUGGGCGUAAAGAGCUCGUAGGCGGUUUGUCGCGUCGUUCGUGAAAAACUCACAGCUUAACUGUGAGCUUGCGGUCGAUACGGGCAGGCUAGAGUUCGGUAGGGGGAGACUGGAAUUCCUGGUGUAGCGGUGAAAUGCGCAGAUAUCAGGAAGAACACCAAUGGCGAAAGCAGCUCUCUGGGACGGUACUGACGCUGAGACGCGAAAGCGUGGGGAGCAAACAGG
Molecule: ribosomal RNA, 256 nt
Filed under: uncultured bacterium
Lineage: Bacteria
Description: partial 16S ribosomal RNA
Rfam family: Bacterial small subunit ribosomal RNA
Source: RNAcentral